UACAGAGGGUGCAAGCGUUAUUCGGAAUUACUGGGCGUAAAGCGUGCGUAGACGGUCAUGUAAGUCGGGUGUGAAAGCCCCGGGCUCAACCUGGGAAUUGCAUUCGAGACUGCAUGGCUAGGGUGCGGAAGAGGGAAGCGGAAUUUCCGGUGUAGCGGUGAAAUGCGUAGAUAUCGGAAGGAACACCAGUGGCGAAGGCGGGUCUCUGGGCCGAGACUGACGCUGAGGAGCGAAAGCGUGGGGAGCGAACAGG
Molecule: ribosomal RNA, 253 nt
Filed under: uncultured bacterium
Lineage: Bacteria
Description: partial 16S ribosomal RNA
Rfam family: Bacterial small subunit ribosomal RNA
Source: RNAcentral